Molecule: long non-coding RNA, 1640 nt
Organism: Mauremys mutica (yellowpond turtle)
Lineage: Eukaryota; Metazoa; Chordata; Testudines; Geoemydidae
Exons: 4
Source: RefSeq, a predicted model, not a curated record
CAGGUUACAGAAAGGUUAUCAUGAACAAUGGGACUUGGCUUUUCAAAGAGGGUGGCUGGUGAAACCGUACUUCCCAGAUGAAAAUGUUAGCAAGCAGUGGAAGAACUGAAAUGUACCUAGCUGAAAUGGAUACACGGGCAUAAAGGCACAUUACUCAGACCAAACGUCAGUGAAGCAAUAACCAGGCCCGAAGAGAAGGCCCGGACGCUUGGGAGACGAGGCUGCUUUGAGCUUCCGGCAGUGAUGGGGCUGGUCAAGGAGCGUUCGCUCUUUUACAACAAAAAUCCAACUCCUGCAAUGCUGCCAAGACUUGUGGGGCAAUUGUGUCCGCCUCGAAAGGAUGCCCUGUAAAGGAAAAGAAGCUUUUAACGGAACAUGCUCAGGGCAGCCGGCCUGGAUGACACCUGAGCCUCAAGCAUGGUCUAUAACAGGAGACCUCUGCCGCCCUUCAGCCCCGAGCUCAUUGGCUACAAGGCUGAGGCUGAGAGUUGCAGACACUUCUGUCCUGACAUGGGAAAACAGCCACAUCCACCAGCUCUCAGGGAGCCCUGGCCAUGACAAUAUCAUCCAUGCAUCAAGCCGCAAAAGAUGCUAUGAAGCUCUGUAUUCCAGCCUUCUCUUAUCCAUUCUUUUCCCAAUAGCUCCCAACAUUCAAACUUCCAGUUUAAGGGCAAAUUUUCUAUGCCUCGUACCAUUGACACUCAACAGGCAGAGUUUCGGUAGCGUAACAGGCUAGCUAAGUGUAUGGUGUCUCACCUCUAGUAGCCUGCCCACAAAGUGGAUAAAAGCCCACUACUGCUACUAGCCACCAGAAUUAGUGCUUUAGCUAAAGUGGGAAAGGCCUGUGCUGGAGCCCCUACAGAUCUACCAACGGUGGUGCUAUUACAUUAGUAUCAUGCUAUAGCACAGACCAGCUUGACCACUAAGACACAAUAGCACUAGAAGAAAAAUACUUAUAAAAAAUAAGGUAAGUGCCUUGAAGUUCUUAUGCAUUCUAGACUCAGGCUCCUUUAAGGGUUUUAUUCUGCAAGCUGAUGAGCACCCGCUGAAGGCCACUGACCACCCCGAGCUCCCUUUGGCUUUGGUGAGUGUUGAGAGCACUCAGACCCAGAUCCCCCAAGGUAUUUAGGUGAGCAUUUCAAAGGCCUCACCAUCUGUCUGAAAUGGGGCUGAAGACAGGGAUGUAUGUUUAACCUCUCAAUAAUAGUUGUAAAUGGCAAUAAAGAAAGAGAUGCCUGUAUUGCAACUUCCGGUUUGACAGCUAAAAUAAGGUCAUGCGUUUACUGCUGAGAACCAGCAGACUCAACUCCUUAAAGAUACAAGAUUGGCUCAGCUUUGCAGUUGCCUUGCCUAUGAAUAGAUGAGAUCCCUGCUGUCCCAGUGAGUAAUUCUGACUUCCUCCCUUUGCCUUGCAGAGCUGAGUCACAGGCAUUCUGCACUCCAGUCAUGCAUUACUUACAUGGUCUGAAAGGAAACUUUAACACAUCCAAUGAAUCAUCCGGGAUUGGAUCAUUUUUAAAGUUAUUCCAUUGGUAUUUCCCUUCUAUUGUAGCACAUGUGCCAACACCUAAAACUUCGGCUAAUCCGGACUCCUAAAUGCAUUGAGUUGUUGACAUAUACAGCUACUAAUAAAAUAAUUU